GCCUCGGUGGUGAAAUUGGUAGACACAAGGGACUUAAAAUCCCUCGACCUUACGGUUGUGCCGGUUCGACCCCGGCCCGAGGCACCA
RNAcentral lists this transfer RNA (87 nucleotides) under Vogesella aquatica. RNAcentral describes it as "tRNA-Leu". It matches the Rfam family "tRNA". Rfam says of the family: Transfer RNA (tRNA) molecules are approximately 80 nucleotides in length. Their secondary structure includes four short double-helical elements and three loops (D, anti-codon, and T loops). Further hydrogen bonds mediate the characteristic L-shaped molecular structure. tRNAs have two regions of fundamental functional importance: the anti-codon, which is responsible for specific mRNA codon recognition, and the 3' end, to which the tRNAs corresponding amino acid is attached (by aminoacyl-tRNA synthetases). tRNAs cope with the degeneracy of the genetic code in two manners: having more than one tRNA (with a specific anti-codon) for a particular amino acid; and 'wobble' base-pairing, i.e. permitting non-standard base-pairing at the 3rd anti-codon position. Lineage: Bacteria; Pseudomonadati; Pseudomonadota; Betaproteobacteria; Neisseriales; Chromobacteriaceae. The record is from RNAcentral.